Molecule: ribosomal RNA, 467 nt
Filed under: uncultured bacterium
Lineage: Bacteria
Description: SSU rRNA
Rfam family: Bacterial small subunit ribosomal RNA
Source: RNAcentral
AGGAUAAACGCUGGCGGCGUGCCUAACACAUGCAAGUCGAACGCGCUUUCGGGCUUCGGUGCGAGAGCGAGUGGCGGACGGGUGAGUAACACAUGGGUACCUGCCUUUCAGUGAGGGAUACCGGCGAGAAAUCGCCGACAAUACCGCAUGGGCUUGUGGGAACACAAGCAAAGUGGCGCAAGCCACGCUGGAAGAUGGGCCUGUGGCCGAUUAGCUAGUUGGGGGGUAACGGCUCCCAAGGCGACGAUCGGUAGCUGGUCUGAGAGGACGAUCAGCCACACUGGGAUUGAGAACGGCCCAGACUCCUACGGGGGGCAGCAGUGAGGAAUUUUCCGCAAUGGACGAAAGUCUGACGGAGCAACGCCGCGUGCAGGAGGAAGGUUUCGGAUCGUAAACUGCUUUCUCGGGGACGAGCAAGGACGGUACCCGAGGAACGAAGCCCCGGCUAACUACGCGCCAGCAGCCGC